RNAcentral lists this ribosomal RNA (907 nucleotides) under Curvularia verruculosa. RNAcentral describes it as "partial large subunit ribosomal RNA". It matches the Rfam family "Eukaryotic large subunit ribosomal RNA", at positions 38 to 958 of the family's 3401-position model. Lineage: Eukaryota; Fungi; Ascomycota; Dothideomycetes; Pleosporales; Pleosporaceae. The record is from RNAcentral.
CCAUAUCAAUUAAGCCGGAGGAAAAAGAAAACAAACAGGGAUUGCCCUAGUAAACGGGCGAGUGAAGCGGCAACAGCUCAAAUUUGAAAUCUGGGCUCUUUUAGAGUCCGAGUUGUAAAUUGCAGAGGGCGCUUUGGCUUUGGCAGCGGUCCAAGUUCCCUUGGAACAGGACGUCACAGAGGGUGAGAAUCCCGUACGUGGUCGCUAGCUAUUGCCGUGUAAAGCCCCUUCGACGAGUCGAGUUGUUUGGGAAUGCAGCUCUAAAUGGGAGGUAAAUUUCUUCUAAAGCUAAAUAUUGGCCAGAGACCGAUAGCGCACAAGUAGAGUGAUCGAAAGAUGAAAAGCACUUUGGAAAGAGAGUCAAACAGCACGUGAAAUUGUUGAAAGGGAAGCGCUUGCAGCCAGACUUGCUUGCAGUUGCUCAUCCGGGCUUUUGCCCGGUGCACUCUUCUGCAGGCAGGCCAGCAUCAGUUUGGGCGGUGGGAUAAAGGUCUCUGACACGUUCCUCUCUUCGGGGAGGCCAUAUAGGGGAGACGUCAUACCACCAGCCUGGACUGAGGUCCGCGCAUCUGCUAGGAUGCUGGCGUAAUGGCUGUAAGCGGCCCGUCUUGAAACACGGACCAAGGAGUCUAACAUCUAUGCGAGUGUUUGGGUGUCAAGCCCGAACGCGUAAUGAAAGUGAACGGAGGUGGGAACCCGCAAGGGCGCACCAUCGACCGAUCCUGAAGUUUACGGAAGGAUUUGAGUAAGAGCAUGGCUGUUGGGACCCGAAAGAUGGUGAACUAUGCUUGAAUAGGGUGAAGCCAGAGGAAACUCUGGUGGAGGCUCGCAGCGGUUCUGACGUGCAAAUCGAUCGUCAAAUUUGGGCAUAGGGCGAAAGACUAAUCGAACCAUCCUUAUUGGCCAC